AUACGGAGGGUGCAAGCGUUAUCCGGAAUUAUUGGGUUUAAAGGGUCCGUAGGCGGCUCGAUAAGUCAGUGGUGAAAUUCUCUCGCUCAACGAGAGACCUGCCAUUGAUACUGUCUUGGCUAGAGUUACAGUGAGGUGAGUGGAAUGUGUAGUGUAGCGGUGAAAUGCAUAGAUAUUACACAGAACACCGAUUGCGAAGGCAGCUCACUAACUGUAUACUGACGCUGAUGGACGAAAGCGUGGGGAGCAAACAGGAUUAGAAACCCCAGUAGUCC
Molecule: ribosomal RNA, 275 nt
Filed under: uncultured bacterium
Lineage: Bacteria
Description: partial 16S ribosomal RNA
Rfam family: Bacterial small subunit ribosomal RNA
Source: RNAcentral